AAGGGGGGACGGCCCCCCUCCCAAUUCGGAUUGGGCUUGGGGACGGCCCUC
This 51-nucleotide non-coding RNA is filed under the name Triticum aestivum (bread wheat). RNAcentral's name for it is "Guanidine-II sequence". It matches the Rfam family "Guanidine-II riboswitch aptamer (mini-ykkC)". Rfam says of the family: Simpler in structure and has fewer highly conserved nucleotide positions than the ykkC-yxkD leader. Despite this each of its two stem-loop structures directly bind free guanidine. Therefore, mini-ykkC RNA motif represents a distinct class of guanidine-sensing RNAs. The record is from RNAcentral. Lineage: Eukaryota; Viridiplantae; Streptophyta; Magnoliopsida; Poales; Poaceae.